RNAcentral lists this ribosomal RNA (492 nucleotides) under uncultured bacterium. RNAcentral describes it as "partial 16S ribosomal RNA". It matches the Rfam family "Bacterial small subunit ribosomal RNA", at positions 28 to 507 of the family's 1533-position model. The record is from RNAcentral.
GGUGAACGCUGGCGGUAGGCCUAACACAUGCAAGUCGAACGGCAGCACAGUAAGAGCUUGCUCUUACGGGUGGCGAGUGGCGGACGGGUGAGGAAUACAUCGGAAUCUACUUUUUCGUGGGGGAUAACGUAGGGAAACUUACGCUAAUACCGCAUACGACCUACGGGUGAAAGCAGGGGAUCUUCGGACCUUGCGCGAUUGAAUGAGCCGAUGUCGGAUUAGCUAGUUGGCGGGGUAAAGGCCCACCAAGGCGAUGAUCCGUAGCUGGUCUGAGAGGAUGAGCAGCCACACUGGAACUGAGACACGGUCCAGACUCCUACGGGAGGCAGCAGUGGGGAAUAUUGGACAAUGGGCGCAAGCCUGAUCCAGCCAUACCGCGUGGGUGAAGAAGGCCUUCGGGUUGUAAAGCCCUUUUGUUGGGAAAGAAAAGCAGCAGGUUAAUACCCCGCUGUUCUGACGGUACCCAAAGAAUAAGCACCGGCUAACUUCGUG